GAUGAACGCUGGCGGUGUGCCUAACACAUGCAAGUCGAGCGGCAAGACGGUGAGCGCUUGCCUUUAAGGUUGGCGGGUGGCGGGCGGGUAACGAGUGGAUAGGAUACUAAUUAUACUGGGGUAAUUUCGUGAAGCCGGAGCCGCUAACAGCGCAUAUGUCGUACGGGAUAGAGCAGUGGUUCUUGGGACUUUUCGCGUUUGUUUUAGACGAAUUCGGAUUGGCUAGUUGGGGAGGUAAGGGCCCACCAAGGCGACGAUACGCAGCUGGUCUGAGAGGAUGAUCAGCCACACUGGAACUGAGACACGGUCCAGACUCCUACGGGAGGCAGCAGUAGGGAAUAUUCGACAAUGGGCGAAAGCCUGACGCAGCAAUGCCGCGUGAGUGAUGAAGGCCUUCGGAUUGUAAAACCCUGUUAUUAGGAAAGAAAAACAGUAGAUGAAACCAUGGCCGUUCUGACGGUACCCAAAGAGAAAGCAACGGCUAACUUCGUG
RNAcentral lists this ribosomal RNA (492 nucleotides) under uncultured bacterium. RNAcentral's name for it is "partial 16S ribosomal RNA". It matches the Rfam family "Bacterial small subunit ribosomal RNA", at positions 28 to 507 of the family's 1533-position model. The record is from RNAcentral.